Triticum urartu is the source of this 135-nucleotide non-coding RNA. The record is from Rfam. NCBI's taxonomy places the organism in Eukaryota, Viridiplantae, Streptophyta, Magnoliopsida, Poales, Poaceae.
UUAAUACUCCCUCAGUCUCAAAAUUCUUGUUUUAAAUUUUUCUAAAUACAGAUGUAUCAAGUCACGUUUUAGUAUUAGAUGCAUCCGUAUCUAGACGAAUCUAAGACAAGAAUUUUGAGACGGAGGGAGUACGAC